Long non-coding RNA from Chiloscyllium plagiosum (whitespotted bambooshark), 1829 nucleotides. RefSeq lists it as uncharacterized. The record is from RefSeq and is a predicted model, not a curated record. NCBI's taxonomy places the organism in Eukaryota, Metazoa, Chordata, Chondrichthyes, Orectolobiformes, Hemiscylliidae.
AUGAAACAAGGUUUGAAAAAUCAUCUUGACCAGGGCUUUUCUGUCAGUGCACGAUGCAUUAACUUGCCACAUGCGAAGAAUAUAGAAGACAAUGCCUUUAAAACCCUCAAAGUUUGAACGACAGCGUUUAUGGACAGCACUGAGUUCCACCAUUAUCUCGGUUCUUGCAAAAGUGUCGCGAUGGACCGUCCUACUAUACAUUGUAAACAUUUACGAUUUGUUCAGACUUGAAAUCACAUCGAUGAAGAUGUACGUCAUAUAAGGAGUGAAAAUAGGUUUGAAUCUGUUGCAAGCCAAAGAGGCAAUUCGUCAGGACCUUGAAUGAUUUGGUUCCAAGCCAGUUGAAAGAUCAUAAGACUACAAACUGAAUGCCUGUCCAUCAUUCACAAGACAAGGGUGAGAUGGAAUAUUUUUGACUCUCCUGGAUGAAUGCAAUUGCAACAAAACACAGGAAGAUUGACAUGCACAACAAAACAGCCCACAUGUUUGGUACCACAUCCACAACCAUCAACAUUCAAUUCCUUCACCAUGAUGCAUUGAGGCAACAGUGUAUAGGGUAUAUCAUCUAUAAGAUGCACUGAAUUAAAGCUCCUCCAGUAACAUCUUAUGAACCCUCAAGCUGAAUUAUCUCGAAAGACAAUGGGAAUGCCCCUUGCAAAGAGUCCUUCAAUCCACACAUCAUCUUGACUUGGAACAAUGUCACCAUGCUUCAUUGUCACUGGGUCAAAGUCCUGGAACUCACUUCUCAACAUCUCUACGAUAUCCCUAAACUCCAAAGACUGCGACUGUUCCAGGAGGCAGCUCACCAUCACUUUCUCCAAGGCAACUGGGAUUGGCAUAAAUACCAGCCUAGUCAUUAAUGUCCCAAUCUGAUGAACAAAUAUUUUUUAAAAAAAGCUUAGGAGUGGACAUCACUACAGGUACUUCUCCAGUGCUUUGCGGUACCUGCUGAAGAUUAUGCAAGUUGCCAUAGUAAAUGAAUGGUGAUCAUUGCUGCCUGUCAAAUCAUGAACUUAGUCUUGGAUUUGAGAUCCUGGUCCUCAAAUAUUCUUCAUCUGUUCGCUGAGCGUGCUAUUAUACUUGUAGAUGAUGAUGAAUUGUGUUGUCAGAACUUCUAAAGAAAGGUAUUGACCUGAAAUAUUAACUCUGUUUUUCUCUUUGAGGAUGCUGCCAGACCUGCUGAACAUUUUCAGGAAUUUCUGCUUCAUAUUUUCAGCAUCUGCAGAAUUUUGGGUUUUGUAAUAGAAGUUUAAAACACUUUUCAAUUGUUAAUUUCUAACCUAAGACUAAUAAGUUAUAUUGAUUAACGGCAUUAAGAAUUAUCAGGUGAAGACAGAUUUGUUAUCCUUAGAUUCAGUUGUCACAGAUUAGCCAUAUGUUCAUUGAAUGGCACAACUGACCAGGGGCCUAAAUUACAAACUCCUGACCACAUAUUUCUAUUGUACAAUGUACCUUUGUAGUUUGAAACUUUAAGACUCAAUAUCAUUCUAGUAACAUUCUACUGUGCCAUCUUCAAGUGCAAACACUUCCCUGAAGUACCCAAAACUGAACAGAAUACUGAAUUGGGGUCUGACCAAAGCUCUGUAGAACUGAAUUGUCACUUGCUUGCUUUUUCUUUUCCUGAGUAUUUUGUAUUCUUUCAUGGAACAUACAUGUCACUGGCAAGGCCAGUAUUUGUUAUCCGUUCCUAACUGCCCUUGAGCUGAAUGAUUUACUAGACCAUUUCAGAGGGCAGUUAAAAGUCCAUCAAUAAAGGUUACAUUUAUUUUGCCAUUUUUGAUUAUUUUUGUCUUUAUGCAUUCUCUUUUAUUGAUCUUUCCAACUACAUA